GUUGCAUUGUUAUCUUUGCCAUAAUCUGUUGUCCCUGCUUAGCUUGUUUGGCCUGCUGCGCCAUUUGUCAACGUCGUGACGAGGAGGAAGAAUGAGUGUAAAUUCAGUGCUGCCUGCUGCACAAUGUUUGUAGACUUACUUUGAUCAGAAGCCAUCACAGAACGAAGAGUUGAAUACGUAAUAGGCCACGGUGCAUGUUGCAAACAGCAACAGUAUAAAUACGCUAAAUGUAGCUACAGAGAGCAGCAGUGGAGCAAGAAAGUCCGGUAGCAUAGUAAAGAUUCAUAAAUGUUUGUAUAAAAAAGAAAAUAAAAAUUGACAGUAAACUCUACAAAUGAUUUUUCUUUCAUCGCAUUUCAAAUAUUAUUAACAACAAAAUUGAGCAUUUAGGCUCUCAAGUCAGUCAGUUAUUUUAAUCCAAUGGAGAGAGCCAACGCUGGUAAGCCUGCCGGCAGCAAGGAUACGCCGGCAAUCAUAUUCGCCUUUAUCAUGCUGGGUAUUCUAUGCUGUGGCUGCUUACUAAUUUUAAUCCUUUGCCUGCCUUGCUUCGCACUCUGUGCCUGUUGUGCCUGCGAGGAGGAUUAUAUGGAAGAAUGUGACUGAAGCAAUCAGAAAGACACACACACUAUUUAGAUAAGCGAAAAUAUUUGUUUAUGUACAUUUGUAACAGUUGCUAGAAUUUGGAAUAUGUGCUGCUCUAACAAAUCAAAAUUUACUGUCAAAUAAGCAAAAUGCAAAGUGAUUUACAGCAAUAUCAAAUUCCUAUUCUUUUAAUCUUGA
Long non-coding RNA from Drosophila busckii, 780 nucleotides. RefSeq lists it as uncharacterized. The transcript has 2 exons. Lineage: Eukaryota; Metazoa; Arthropoda; Insecta; Diptera; Drosophilidae. The record is from RefSeq and is a predicted model, not a curated record.